Molecule: ribosomal RNA, 465 nt
Filed under: uncultured bacterium
Lineage: Bacteria
Description: partial 16S ribosomal RNA
Rfam family: Bacterial small subunit ribosomal RNA
Source: RNAcentral
CUACGGGAGGCUGCAGUGGGGAAUAUUGGACAAUGGGGGAAACCCUGAUCCAGCAAUGCCGCGUGUGUGAAGAAGGCCUGCGGGUUGUAAAGCACUUUCGGUUGGGAGGACUGCUUCUAGCACUAAUAUUGUUGGAAGUUGACGUUACCUUCAGAAGAAGCACCGGCUAACUCCGUGCCAGCAGCCGCGGUAAUACGGGGGGUGCAAGCGUUAAUCGGAAUUACUGGGCGUAAAGCGCGCGUAGGCGGCUAGAUCAGUCGGGUGUGAAAGCCCCGGGCUUAACCUGGGAACUGCACCCGAUACUGUCUAGCUUGAGUACAGGAGAGGAGAGUGGAAUUCCACAUGUAGCGGUGAAAUGCGUAGAUAUGUGGAGGAACACCAAUGGCGAAGGCAGCUCUCUGGCCUGAUACUGACGCUGAGGUGCGAAAGCGUGGGGAGCGAACAGGAUUAGAUACCCCGGUAGUC